Molecule: ribosomal RNA, 253 nt
Filed under: uncultured bacterium
Lineage: Bacteria
Description: partial 16S ribosomal RNA
Rfam family: Bacterial small subunit ribosomal RNA
Source: RNAcentral
UACGAAGGGGGCUAGCGUUGCUCGGAAUUACUGGGCGUAAAGCGCACGUAGGCGGUCUUUUAAGUCGGGGGUGAAAUCCUGGAGCUCAACUCCAGAACUGCCUUCGAUACUGGAAGACUUGAGUCCGGGAGAGGUGAGUGGAACUGCGAGUGUAGAGGUGAAAUUCGUAGAUAUUCGCAGGAACACCAGUGGCGAAGGCGGCCUGCUGGGCUGUUGCUGACGCUGAGGCGCGACAGCGUGGGGAGCAAACAGG